This 1199-nucleotide ribosomal RNA is filed under the name Vibrio sp. DH163. RNAcentral describes it as "bacterial SSU rRNA". It matches the Rfam family "Bacterial small subunit ribosomal RNA", at positions 37 to 1239 of the family's 1533-position model. Lineage: Bacteria; Pseudomonadati; Pseudomonadota; Gammaproteobacteria; Vibrionales; Vibrionaceae. The record is from RNAcentral.
GGGCAGGGCGCAGCUACACAUGCAGUCGAGCGGAACGAGUUAUCUGAACCUUCGGGGAACGAUAACGGCGUCGAGCGGCGGACGGGUGAGUAAUGCCUAGGAAAUUGCCCUGAUGUGGGGGAUAACCAUUGGAAACGAUGGCUAAUACCGCAUAACGCCUACGGGCCAAAGAGGGGGACCUUCGGGCCUCUCGCGUCAGGAUAUGCCUAGGUGGGAUUAGCUAGUUGGUGAGGUAAGGGCUCACCAAGGCGACGAUCCCUAGCUGGUCUGAGAGGAUGAUCAGCCACACUGGAACUGAGACACGGUCCAGACUCCUACGGGAGGCAGCAGUGGGGAAUAUUGCACAAUGGGCGCAAGCCUGAUGCAGCCAUGCCGCGUGUGUGAAGAAGGCCUUCGGGUUGUAAAGCACUUUCAGUCGUGAGGAAGGCGGUAAUGUUAAUAGCGGUAUUGUUUGACGUUAGCGACAGAAGAAGCACCGGCUAACUCCGUGCCAGCAGCCGCGGUAAUACGGAGGGUGCGAGCGUUAAUCGGAAUUACUGGGCGUAAAGCGCAUGCAGGUGGUUUGUUAAGUCAGAUGUGAAAGCCCGGGGCUCAACCUCGGAAUAGCAUUUGAAACUGGCAGACUAGAGUACUGUAGAGGGGGGUAGAAUUUCAGGUGUAGCGGUGAAAUGCGUAGAGAUCUGAAGGAAUACCGGUGGCGAAGGCGGCCCCCUGGACAGAUACUGACACUCAGAUGCGAAAGCGUGGGGAGCAAACAGGAUUAGAUACCCUGGUAGUCCACGCCGUAAACGAUGUCUACUUGGAGGUUGUGGCCUUGAGCCGUGGCUUUCGGAGCUAACGCGUUAAGUAGACCGCCUGGGGAGUACGGUCGCAAGAUUAAAACUCAAAUGAAUUGACGGGGGCCCGCACAAGCGGUGGAGCAUGUGGUUUAAUUCGAUGCAACGCGAGAACCUUACCUACUCUUGACAUCCAGAGAACUUUCCAGAGAUGAAUUGGUGCCUUCGGGAACUCUGAGACAGGUGCUGCAUGCUGUCGUCAGCUCGUGUGUGAAAUGUGGUAGUCCGCACGAGCGCAACCGUAUCAUGGUGCAGCAGUCAUGUCGGGACUUCAAGUAGACUGCGGUGGAUAACGAGUAGGUGGGACGAACGCUAGUCUACAUGCCUACAGAUAGCUACACACUGGUGCUACAAUGGGGGCGC